AGUGAACGUUGGCGGCGUGGAUUAGGCAUGCAAGUCGAGCGAGAACCGUAGCAAUACGGGGACAGCGGCGAAAGGGACAGUAAUGUGUAGGUACCUACCUCCGGGUUCGGGAUAGCUGCGGGAAACUGCAGGUAAUACCGAAUAACGUCUCCGGACCAAAGGCGUGAUUCCACCUGGAGAGGGGCCUGCAUCCUAUUAGCUAGUUGGGGAGGUAACGGCUCACCAAGGCGACGAUGGGUAGCGGGUGUGAGAGCACGACCCGCGUCAUUGGGACUGAGACACUGCCCAGACACCUACGGGUGGCUGCAGUCGAGGAUCUUCGGCAAUGGGCGCAAGCCUGACCGAGCGACGCCGCGUGCGGGAUGAAGGCCUUCGGGUUGUAAACCGCUGUCGUAGAGGAGGAAUUGCAGGGGGGUUCUCCCCUCUGCUUGACCUAUUCUAGGAGGAAGGACGGGCUAAGUUCGUGCCAGCCGCCGCGGUAA
This 482-nucleotide ribosomal RNA is filed under the name uncultured bacterium. RNAcentral's name for it is "partial 16S ribosomal RNA". It matches the Rfam family "Bacterial small subunit ribosomal RNA", at positions 28 to 523 of the family's 1533-position model. The record is from RNAcentral.